CUGGGAGCUGCCUGCCUUCCCUGAGCACCACGCGGUCGCCGCAUUCCAGGCACUCCCGGCGCUCUCUAGCGCUCGCGGCAUUGUCUGGUGGAUCCGCCUCCUCCGCGACUUCCCUGGGAGCUCUACUAGCUUCCCGUGGCGCACCGUGGGAUCCCCGUUUCCUGUGAUUCGCUGCCUCGAAAGCCCAGCAAUAUGGAGAAGCGAUUUCAGUAUCUUAAUGGAGUUUACAACCAAAUUCAGUUCCCUUGUGGAUCAGCAAGCAAACAAGCAAAGACAGGCACUACCUAACAAGUGUCAAUCCUCAUGCCUGCCCUCUUUCUUUGUUUCUUAAUGAUCCCAGCUCCCCUUGGAUACAAUAUUCCUUCAAAAUGGUAUUAUAUGUGCACACCAGAGGGAAACCAGAAGGAC
Long non-coding RNA from Dipodomys spectabilis (banner-tailed kangaroo rat), 408 nucleotides. RefSeq lists it as uncharacterized. The transcript has 4 exons. NCBI's taxonomy places the organism in Eukaryota, Metazoa, Chordata, Mammalia, Rodentia, Heteromyidae. The record is from RefSeq and is a predicted model, not a curated record.